This 13340-nucleotide long non-coding RNA is filed under the name Daucus carota (carrot). RNAcentral describes it as "long non-coding RNA (DCAR_LNC002671)". Lineage: Eukaryota; Viridiplantae; Streptophyta; Magnoliopsida; Apiales; Apiaceae. The record is from RNAcentral.
GCGCUAAGAAGUUUGGCCCGUAAGAACUACGUGGUAGCUUGAACCCCUAUAAAUAGGGUACGUAGGCCUCUUGUGCUGAUUAUCUGAUUCUUGCUGAGAAACUCUUGAGAACACUUUCUCUCUUUAUCUCGAGGAUCAAACACAAGAUCAGCUACAUCAUCCAUCACUUCCCGUCCCGUGUUCUUCGCUGUUCCUUCCGGAAAUCACUCAGGUACCCACAUCUGUUGUUAACCAAUUUCUCCCGUUAACAAUNNNNNNNNNNNNNNNNNNNNNNNNNNNNNNNNNNNNNNNNNNNNNNNNNNNNNNNNNNNNNNNNNNNNNNNNNNNNNNNNNNNNNNNNNNNNNNNNNNNNNNNNNNNNNNNNNNNNNNNNNNNNNNNNNNNNNNNNNNNNNNNNNNNNNNNNNNNNNNNNNNNNNNNNNNNNNNNNNNNNNNNNNNNNNNNNNNNNNNNNNNNNNNNNNNNNNNNNNNNNNNNNNNNNNNNNNNNNNNNNNNNNNNNNNNNNNNNNNNNNNNNNNNNNGAAGGCCCCCCCCCCCCGGUUCCCGUCGGUCGCCCAUUUGGUCUGCUGCCAGAAGUACGAGUGUCUCGACCGUCUAGGAAGAAGACUAACUGAGCAUGAUCUAAGGCUCAGGUUGGAGGCCAAGCAGAUGGAAAGAAUGGAGAGAGAGCACCAGCGUCGAGAGGAGCGGCCCCCUCCCAUUAUGACGAGAGGGAGCGGUCACUCCACUCAAGGACCCAUAGGAAAAGAUCCCCUCCUCAUCCUUCCCGCCAACAAUCUAGGCUGCGGAACAAUGAGGACGAGGGAGAAUCCCAGGUCCAUGACCUUAGGAGGAGUCAUCCACCUCCGUCUCUCCACGGCGAGAAUAAUGGCCAUUAGGGGUGUGCAUGGUGCGGUUUGGUGCGGUUCCAGACAUUAACCGUAACCAAACCGUUAAAUGCGGUUCGGUUCGGUUAAUUAUCAUUAACCGUAACCACACCAAUUAAAACGGUUUUUCGGUUGCGGUUAACCAUUAGUCGGUUGCGGUUUUUUUUCGGUUUUUCUACUUUUGUCCAUAAUAAUUUUUUUUUAAAAAAAAUAUAAAUUUUUCAUAAACAUGUAUAGUAUGUUCGGUUACUCAUGUUUCCAUAUAUGAGGAUAUAGGAAACAUUACAUACUUUCAUCUAAAAAAACUUAAUAUACAAUAAAAACUAAAACAUACAUAUUUCAACAAGAAAUUAGAUGAUGUCAAGUCAAUAUAAUUAUCCAAAAUUAACUAAUCAUAAAAUUCAAAUCAAAAGUCUUCAACAGGUAUAUAAAUAAAAAGAGUAGAAUAGGUUUCAUAAUAAAAUUUGAUUAGCAGAUUAACAACAUAAAUAUUUCUGCUCUGUGGCAAACUACAGUAGUCCUAAUCUUCGAGUAAGCGCUUCUCCAAAUAUUUGGGUGCCCGUUCACUUAUUUAAGUGACUCAACAAGUGAGUGUCUCUGGACAGGAAGCCUCAAUAUAGAAUAAGAUGUGAAGUGUAAAAAUGAUUGAGGUGCUUUACUACUAUUAUAUAUAUAUAUAUAUAUAUAUAUAUAUAUAUAUAUAUAUAUAUAUAUAUAUUUAAAUAAUANNNNNNNNNNNNNNNNNNNNNNNNNNNNNNNNNNNNNNNNNNNNNNNNNNNNNNNNNNNNNNNNNNNNNNNNNNNNNNNNNNNNNNNNNNNNNNNNNNNNNNNNNNNNNNNNNNNNNNNNNNNNNNNNNNNNNNNNNNNNNNNNNNNNNNNNNNNNNNNNNNNNNNNNNNNNNNNNNNNNNNNAUAUAUCUAAUCUGAUUAUUAAUUCUUUUAACGCUUAAUCACAUAAUAAGAUAAUUUAAUUUAAUAUUUUCUGGAUAUCUUAUUAUUCUUAUAUUAAAAUGAAAUGCGAGCAUAAUAAAUUUAAAUUAAAACGUAUAACAUUUUACUAAAAAAUAUGGUUUACUAAUAACUAGCCUUAAACCCGUGCAAAGCACGGGCGGCUAUAUAAUUUAAACUAAUUAUUAAUUAUUAUAUAAUAUAUAUAUAUAUAUAUAUAUAUAUUAAUAAUAGUAUAUAUAUUAAUAAUAUAUAUAUAUAUUUCGGUUUGGUUAAUUUCGGUGUGGUUUUAGCAUAAAAUCGAAAAUAAAACCGCACCAUUAAUUUCGGUUUUUUAUUUCGGUUAUUUUCGGUUUGGUUUUUCUCGAUGUGGUUUUUCGGUUUUUUCAGGUUUUUUUUGCGGUUUCGGUUUUUUCUGCUCACCCCUAAUGGCCAUGAUGAGGACGAACGACUUGGAAAUUUGAAUGUGCAUGACCUCAGGAGGAUAUUAAACCGCAUGGAGGAGAAAAGAGGUUCCCCCAGGCUGUUGUUGCCCGCUCUCCCUUUACUAGGGCCAUCCUGGAGUCUCCACCGCCUGUAAACAUGAGGCAUCACCCCGAACUCAUCUACAAUGGGGAGGAUGACCCGACCUCAUACUACAUGCGGUUCAACAUGGAGAUGGAUGUCUACCAAAUCCCCAGCCUCAUGCACUGCAGGCUCUUCGCUGCCUCACUUCGAGGGCGCGCCCAACUAUGGUUUUCUAAGCUAGCUCCAGGGAUAAUUAGCUCUUAGGAAUCGAUGGGGGACCUGUUUAUCCGGCAGUUCCAGUCUUCCUUGACCUACGCACCUCCUGUGGCCACCUUAGCCAACAUCAAACAGAGAAGCAGGGAAACCCUCCAUGACUACUUCAAGAGAUUCAACGCUGAGGUCCCUUAUGUGAGGGGGGCCACUGAUGAAGCUGUAAAGAAUUUCCUAAUCGCUGGGUUGAGGAGAGGCUCCGACUUCUGGAAAGAUAUUCAGGCCCAUGAACCCUCCACUCUCCAAGAUCUCUAUCAGCAGGCUGAACCAUUUAAGAUAGUGGAGAGGUCCAUGGCCGAGCUAGACAAUNAAAGGAGAAGACCCCCCCCAGGAACCCUACUGGGACUCAGGGGAGAGGUCAGAAUCAAUUCACCCCGUUGGUGGCCUCGAUAGAGCACAUUUAUGCCAUCAACGCUGAUAAAGGGUUCUUCAAGAAGCCUGCCCCGAUGAGUAACUGGGCAAAGAAGGAUAGGACCAAGUACUGUGCGUUCCAUGAGCAGAAUGGUCAUGAUACCGCGGAUUGUCAGCAGCUGAAACAACAAAUUGAGGAGCUCAUCAAAAAUGGGAGGCUCACCGAGUGGGUGAAGACGCAAAAGAAGAGUUAUAAUAAUGUGCCUCCGUCCCCUCAAGAUAAUGAUAAUGAGACCACCAACACUGAGAAGGUGCCGAGAGCAGGGAGCAUUCACAUGAUCAUUCAGAGUAACCUAACCCUUUCUUCCAGUUUCCACUUUCCAAGAUAUUCUGAGUAGUCUUCCCUGAGUUAGUCCAAGUUCUGAUUAUCUCUUUUUCCUUAACUAGUUCCGAUUCAAGAGAAGCAUUUCUCUUUAAAAGUUCAUUUUUAACAAGGAUACAGUCAUCUCUCUCCUUCUGAAUUUCUAGCAUCUGAACUAGUUCCUUUUCAAGAUAGUCAUUUCUUUUCUUGACAUCUAAGAUCUCAGAUUUUAGUCUUUCAUUUUCUAAAGUCUGAUCUCUAUAACUAACAUGCAGAGUUUUAAGAAAUAGUCUUAACUCAGUUAUAUCUUCAGUAUCAAAAGCAAGAGUGGAAUGAGGUACCUUAGUUUCAACAGUCUCAGUGCUGUUGUCCAUGUUUGCCAUCAAGGCAUAGUCAACAAUGUGCAUAGGGUACUUGUCGAUAAUGGGAGCGCAGCAAAUAUCCUGUCCUACGACGCCUUCACUAAGAUGGGAUUCACGGACAAGGACUUGAACGUGACCCUCAGUGCCUUGUACGGAUUCUGUGGGAGCCCUAUCGACGUGAGAGGAUCCAUCAACCUCCUCGUUACCCUCGGGGAAGGCCCUCUCUCCACAACCCAGAUGGCUGAAUGGUUAAUCAUAAACCAAUACUCAGCCUUUAAUGCUGUCAUCGGUCGCCCCAUCUUGAAAGACAUGAGGAUAGUCACCUCCAUCUACCACAUGUCCAUGAAAUUCCCAACCCCGAAUGGCGUGGGCUGCGUCAAGGGGUGCCAAUAUGACUCUCGGGAUUGCUACAACAAGGCAAUCCGCUUAGCCGAAAGGAGAAAUCGUCUCGAGACUACCGGGGACGUGCAGGGUGAUAAAACAGUGAAAGGGGGAGGCCUAGGCUUCACCUGUAACAUGAUCAGUAUAGAAGAAAUUCCUGAGGAGUACUUUGAGGAUUGGGGGCUCAUAGUAGAGCCCCACCCAAGAGCACUCACUAUGGGCCCUACUUUGCCUGUCAUGACAUUGAUCGAGGGUAUUGUAGAAGAGGCAAGCGAUGAUGAGGAGGAGAGCCCUGAACAGUUGGCGGCCCGAGCUCGCAAAGGGAAAUGGACUAUGAAGGAGACUUCGACUGUCGUCGAUCUCCCCAAUGGGAUAACCAAGGAAGUCACUGUCACCACCGAAAAGCUUGUUACGCCAACCAGAGGCCUCACAUUUGAAAUUGAAGAGCCUGCUACUAAGGAGCCCCUCGUUGAAGAAAUUGUUGAGCCCAGCGCCAAAACAGCUGACGAAGACCUUGACCCCCGGAUGCUAGAAACGGUGGAAAGGGCGGGCACAACAGAGGAUACGGUGUCAAUAUUGGCAGACGCUACAGAUCCGUCCAAGGUCCUCAAAAUUGACUCCAAUCUUGAACCUGAGAUCAGGGGUCCUCUUGUAGAAUUCUUCAAGGCUAAUCUGGAUGUCUUUGCCUGGUCCCACUCCGAUAUGGUGGGAAUUGAUCCUAAAGUGAUGUGCCACAAACUCAAUGUUGACCCCAAUAAAAAGGGGUGUUAGGCCGAAUAAACUCACUAUAUAAGAUAAUAUAGUGAACACAAUCCAAGACAAACACAAGUAGAAGAGAAUAAAUCAAUAAACUCUUAUUCACAAAUCACAGUAGCUUACAAAUAAUCUCUUAGUGAUUUAUAUAUUAUCACUAAGAGCUGCUAGGUUACACGAAUGAUAUUCAAUUGAUAACUCAUCUAGAGUAAACCCUAAGCUGUGUUUAUAUACACAGUUACAUGAUAUCUACUGAUUGAUUUAUAAUUAUCUGCUUCCUAAAAUAAUCUAAUCAGUAGCUAUCCUUCUGCUGUCCUGAUCUGUACAAUCUCUCUUGAUCUUUAUCUUCCUUACUUAGUCAGAUAUGCUCCUGAAAAUCAGCCGCCUGCAAACUCUGAUCAUCACUUAAACUCUGAUCCAGCUGUCAGUCGUUAAACUCUGAUUUCCAACUAAACUCUGAUAUUUGCUUCUGCACACUAAACAAGUUAGAUACCUGUGACAUCAUCAAAUAUGUAACAUCAUCAAUAUCCACCAUGGCAUCAUCAGAAGGUGCAGCUACAGUGGUUUGAACAGGACUAACCACUUCAUCAUCAGAAUCAGUGGAAUUAUCCUGUAAUGAAUCCUCGCCUUCAGAUUGAGCAUUGUUGUCAGAGGAUGUUUCUGCAUCUUCCACUAUCACCUCUUCUUCAACUGGAGAAGUUUGAGCCUCAGGAACAUUGUCUUGACUAAGUGGCGCAGUAACUUGCUCAGUUUGUUCUUCAGGGACCUCCUCAGCAACCUCAGGAACAACAACAUUCUGAACAAGCGUUGUUUAGAAAUUCUUGCAUUGCCUCCGGAAGGACCACAUGUUCAUUAUUGGUGUAGUUCUGAUGGCUCUCCAGCAUAGAGAUUACUCUUGUGGUCAUGAAAGAGCAGAUGACAUUGUCUAUAUUUGGAUAGACAGCUCUUUCAGCAGGGGACAUCAUCUGAUUCAGCACUAUCUGGAAGAACCGAGGGUAGAGAAGUACAUUUCUGUUCUUCCUUAGAGAGUCCUGAAAAGCUCCCAUUAUCAGAUGCCCCAGAUUAAUCCUUGUAUUCUGUGCUAUUGCAAUCCCAAUUUCCUGGUUGAAAGUAGUGAUUCCAUGGAACCCUCCAGUCUUUGGUGCAAAUACAUGAGAAAUGGAAUUAAAGAAGAAAUUCCAUUCCCGAGGUAAGUGCUUGACAUACAUCUUUGUUGGAAGAUCACCAGUUGGCUCCCUUUGGCAGUGGAUAGUAAAGAAGAAAUUAGUCCUUUUAGCUCUAUCAGGAUCUGCUUCAAAGUCCUCUGUUGGUAAUUGGAGUGCAUUGUUCAGGGUGUGUUCAGUGAUAAUGAGUGUUCGUCCCUGAAUGACACACUUGAGUCCAAAUACCUGUCCUUCAUUUACAACAGAAACAGAAGACAGAAAAUCUCGAAGUAGAGACUUGUUAAGAUAAACUGACUCUGUCAUAGCAAAUAGUGCAAAUGAAAAUUCUGACAUAUAUCGAACCCAGCGUCGAUAAUUCGCUUGCGUAAUUAAGUUAUUAUUCUCAACAAUUGUGAAAUUUGUUUUCGGAAUAUCAAAAUUUAGUGCAAAUGAAAAUUCUGACAUAUAUCGAACCCAGCGUCGAUAAUUCGCUUGCGUAAUUAAGUUAUUAUUCUCAACAAUUGUGAAAUUUGUUUUCGGAAUAUCAAAAUUUGCAGCCAUUUUUUAAUUAGAAUUAAAAAUGAUUAUAAAUUUCGUUUCACGAAUAAUUACGAACAAAUUUUCACUUAUGUUACGAAAAUAAUUAAUUAAUAACGCUCCGUAAAACCCUAAUUCCAAGAAUUUCAGAUUUCGAUGAAAUUCAAGUAUGUUGUUCCUCUCGAAAUUCUAAGAAUUAUGGGAUCGGCUUCGCAAAUUAUUGACACUAACAUCACGUAUAAAUUCGUCCUAGAAGGUGAAAAGGUUCGAAAAACCCUCUCGAAAAACCGUAAUGGAUCGUGAAAAGGCUUAUAUGAAUGUGAAGUGCUCGACAAGGGGAUCCUAAAUCGGGUCUCAGAAUUCCAAACGGACAAGAUCUCGACGGUGUUUUGUGGAUUUAAAAAGCUCGAGGUCGAGAGAUUUUGAAAUAUGGUGGCUGCUAUGUGUGUAUCCUGUGUAUAUGUAAACUGGUGAAUAAACGAAACGUGCUAAGUCAUGUUUGUAUAUAUGCACAGAUAGGUGGAGGCGCAAGUUGGUUAAAGACCAACUUGCCCCUCAUAGUGUACGCAGUACACAGCCACCAAGCGCAAGGAAUGAAAAGACAUAGUUGCCCUCCAUAGUGAACACUGUGGAGACGCAACUUUGGACACUUAGAAAAAGAUCUAAGUUGUCAAAGGCAUACAUACACUCGUACACGCCCGAGGCGCAACAUUUGACCAAGUCAAAUGUUGCGCUAAGGUGUUCAUACAGUGCGUACUUGGGAGAAAUGAACUCAAUCUUAACACAUAUACAUACAGUAUUGACGAGGGGCGCAACUUUUGACUUAGUCAAACGUUGCGCCUGUGAUCAAUUACCGUUUGUACACGUACUUAGAAGUUUUUGGAACAAAAUUCUCCCAAAAGAAAAUUAUAUCAAUUUAUCAAAUAUAUUUUGAUUAAGUUCAAAAUAAUCAAACAAAUUAAUAUCACAAUUCUUUUAAAUAAAUUUUAACUAAACUAAGAGUUUAGUCAACAAAUAUUUAAAAAUUAUGCUGCAAUUAUUUUAAUUAAUAUUUAAUUAAUGGACAACUUAAAAUAAUUUGAAUUGCUUCAAAUCCAUUAAUCAAACAUAAUUAAAAUAUGAAUUAAAUAACCACUAAUAUUCAUUAAUUGAAUAUAAGCACUUAAUUAAUUCAAGAAAAUUAAUUCUAAAUAUCUACCAUUUAGCAAAUACUCACAUAAUCACAUAAACUCAUGCAAAUCAUAUAAAUCAUGGCAAAUAAUUAAAACUGAUUAUUAGAUAAAUAUGUAAAAUACUGGAUGCUCUAUGUAAAUUCACAAGUCCUGAAAAUGUGAGGUUGAUGUGACUUCUGUUCCUUCAUCAUCAUCAAUGUCUUCAAGAAAAACACUCAGAGUAUGUGAAGUGAACAUUUUAAAAACUUGUGAACUUACGAACAAAUUGCAGUUAUUUCUUGUCUAAUUAAUUAGACAUAUUUAACAUCCCAAGUUCACCAACCAGUCUAGAGAAAGUGGAUUCGUCUAGUGGUUUAGUGAAGAUGUCUGCAAUUUGUUGAUCAGUAGGUACAAAGUGUAACUCUACUGUUCCAUUCAUGACAUGCUCGCGAAGGAAAUGAUACCUGAUAUCAAUAUGCUUUGUCCUGGUGUGUUGAACAGGAUUGUUGGCAAUGGCAAUGGCACUCGUGUUAUCACACAGAAUCGGAAUUUUAUCCAACAUGAGUCCAUAAUCUUGUAGUUGAUUCCUCAUCCACAAGAUUUGAGCACAGCAACUUCCAGCAGCUAUGUAUUCAGCUUCCGCUGUAGACGUAGACAGGGAGUGUUGCUUCUUGCUAUACCAAGACACCAACCUUCGUCCAAGAAACUGACAGCUUCCUGAAGUACUUUUCCUAUCAAUCUUACAUCCUGCAAAGUCAGAAUCUGUAUAAGACUCUUUACCAAGAAACUGACAGCUUCCUGGAGUACUUUUCCUAUCAAUCUUACAUCCUGCAAAGUCAGAAUCUGUAUAGCCAAUCAAAUCAAAACCUGUAUCUUUAGGGUACCAAAUCCCUAGAUUGGGGGUUCCCUUAAGAUACCUAAAAAUACGCUUAACAGCUAUAAGAUGUGACUCUUUAGGAUCAGCCUGGAAUCUAGCACAUAAACAAGUUGCGAACAUGAUAUCUGGUCUACUAGCAGUUAAGUAUAAGAGAGAGCCAAUCAUACCUCGAUACUUCGUGAUGUCAACUGACUUACCAGAUUUGUCCUGAUCAAGUUUGACAGCAGUUGGCAUAGGGGUUUUGGCAGGAGAUGCUUCUUCCAUUCCAUAUUUCUUCAGAAGAUCCUUGAUGUAUUUAGAUUGGCAGAUAAAAAUACCGUCAGGCUUCUGAAUAACUUGAAGUCCUAGAAAGAAGGACAAUUCUCCCAUCAUGCUCAUCUCAUACUUGUUCUGCAUUAGCUUAGCAAAUCUCUCGCACAAAAGAUCAUUAGUAGAACCAAAUAUAAUGUCAUCGACAUAUACUUGCACAAGAAUUAUAUCAUCCUUAUGCUUUUUAUGGAAAAGAGUUUUAUCGAUGAUACCUCUGGUGAAACCAUUUUCAAGUAAGAACUUGGAAAGAGUGUCAUACCAGGUUCGAGGGGCUUGCUUCAGGCCAUAGAGUGCUUUGAAGAGAAAGUAUACGAAGUCUUCAAAUUCUUUGUCUUCAAACCCAGGGGGUUGUUCAACAUAGACUUCCUCUUCCAGAUCACCAUUCAGGAAUGCACUUUUCACAUCCAUCUGAUAUACUUUGAAGUUGGAGUGUGCAGCAAAUGCUAAGAACAUCCUGAUUGCUUCAAGCCUAGCAACUGGAGCAUAGGUUUCAUCAUAAUCAAUUCCUUCUUCUUGUGAAUAACCCUUUGCAACCAGUCUUGCCUUAUUCCUCGUAACAAUACCAUCUUCAUCCAGUUUGUUUCUAAAAACCCAUCUAGUGCCAACUAUAGAUUUUCCUUCAUGUCUUGGCACCAGCUUCCAAACUUUCUGCCUUUCGAAUUGAUUGAGUUCUUCCUGCAUUGAAGAUACCCAAUCUGGAUCACUUAGAGCCUCUUCAACUUUCUUUGGUUCUGUCUGAGACAAAAAUCCAGCAAAGUUGCAUUCAUUCUGAGUUGCUCUUCUAGUCUGCACUCCUGUGUCUGGAUCACCAAUGAUUUGUUCAACAGGAUGGUCUCUACUCCAUACCCUUUGUCUUGGCAGAUUCAAUCUUGAUGAUUCAUCAUAAUCAUAGUUGUGUUGAGUGUAAUGACUAGUAGAUCCACUUUGACUUNNNNNNNNNNNNNNNNNNNNNNNNNNNNNNNNNNNNNNNNNNNNNNNNNNNNNNNNNNNNNNNNNNNNNNNNNNNNNNNNNNNNNNNNNNNNNNNNNNNNNNNNNNNNNNNNNNNNNNNNNNNNNNNNNNNNNNNNNNNNNNNNNNNNNNNNNNNNNNNNNNNNNNNNNNNNNNNNNUGAUAAGUGGUAUUUAUACACGCUUAUAGGCCUUCAUUUCCGCUUAAAUUGGUUGGUUGUACUUAAGUGUUUAGUGUCUUUUGAUGUGUUUUUAUUGUUUUUCUGUGCAGGUCACGAGUUGAGGUGAUGAAGUGAUUUUCUAUCAUUUUAGGUUGGUUUUGGUGCAUUAUUUGCAAGAAUAGAGAAUUGUGGAUUCAUCACGACUUGGGAUUUUGUGGGUAUAUCUUCUACAAACCCUCACGAGAGCACACUCGUCCACUAGAGCUAUCUAGGGGUUUAAAGGGCUUGUUGCAUGUGCUAAAUGCAACCGUGAUCACCUACGGAAGUGGUACUAGAAGCGAGGAAGGACAUGCACGCGAGAACGAGCGAGAAACGAAGAAACGGGGCUGUCAUCACAGACAGUAGCGCGCCCGCGCUACUUGUUAGCGCGCCCGCGCUACUAACUGCUGCAACUAGCGCGCCUGCGCUAUACUUAGCGCGGCCGCGCCCAGCAGAACUCCCCGGGCCGAUUUUUACAGCUUUUCUGAUGGAUUUUCGCAGCGGUCGAGGCCCGGUUGACUUGGUCAAUGCACUUUAUAAUUUCUCGUGUGUAAAACCCUAGCCGGAUAGAAGUAGUUUGAGUAGAAUAGAACAAUAUCGUAGUUUUCAGUUUAAUCAUUCAAGCACAAUAUCAGUUGUAUUAGAUCGUUCUUCGCGAGGAAGUGACAGUUUCGAGCGAGAUCGUGAACUUCAAUCUGUAACGUGUGAUCUUUAUUAUUAAUUCAAGCAUUUUUAUUCCGUUUAAUUCUUGUCUUUUAUAUAUAAUGCUUUCAUUAGAAACCAUGAUGUCGAUUAGUUCGAUUAUGAACUAACCGCCUUCAUGGGAUUCUAAUGGAUUUACCGAUGUAGUCUAGUAACGAAUAUUUAUUGCUUGAUUGUGUGACAUACGUUGAUUUCUUUGCAUGAGCCGUGCUUAUUCUUCUUAGGAGCGUAGCUAACUUCUAAGUUGUUUGUUAAUUCUUUCUGAAGCGAGAGUGGAUGAUUGAAUUUAGAACUAUGCCAUGUAAACAUAGGAUUAUGUGAAUGAAACAUAAUUUGUGGUAGACUUGAACUAUUUUUAUCACCCUGUGUAAUCACGAUAGACGACUUGCUAUUAAACCUCUCUGCUUACACUACCGCUAUAAAUAUAUGUCUUCUAAAUUGGUAUCAUCAAACCUUACAUUGAUGCUUUCAAUCAGCUUGUCAUCAUUGAUCAGAUAAACCCUGUAGGCCUUUGACUCUAAAGAAUAACCCAGAAAAAUGCCUUCUUCAACUUUAGCAUCAAACUUUCCCAAAUGCUCUUCUUUUAGAACAUAGCAUUUUGCACCAAACACAUGAAAGUAACUCAGUGAUGGUUUUCUGUUGGCCAUUACUUCAUAAGGAGUCUUAUCCAAGUCUUUGUUAAUCAGGGUACGAUUUUGAGUGUAGCAAGCAGUACUCACAGCUUCAGCCCAGAAAUAGAUUGGAAGUCUUGAUUGACUAAUCAUUGUCCUUGCAGCUUCAAUCAAGGUUCUGUUCUUCCUUUCUACGACACCAUUUUGUUGUGGAGUCCUUGGAGCUGAAUACUGACGAGAGAUGCCCUUAUCAGUACAGAAGUCAUUAAGAACAGCAUUACGAAAUUCUGUUCCAUUAUCUGAUCUGAUUGCUCUUACUGGCAAAUUUGCUUCCUUUUCAAUUUUCUUAAUAUGAUCAAUGAUGACGAGUGCUGCUUCAUCCUUUGAAUGUAAGAAUAAUACCCAUGUGUAUUGUUCGCAAAAAUCUACACGCAAGCGCACGUGAUCACAAGUAGAUAUUUAAGUUCCUACACGCAAGCGCACGUGAUCACAAGUAACAUAUUUGUUCGUUCCCACAGAGACUGGUGAAUUAAGAAUACGCACCUAUGCAACAAUGUAUGAGUAAUUUUCACUGCUAAGACAAUCAACAAGGGUGUGUUCUUUUAUACUAAUAACUAAAUUUACUAAUCAAAAUCAGAAUAGGAAAACACAUGAGAUUCUAACUUCAUUAUCGAAUUCAUCUAGAAUUGAAAUUACUGAUUAACAUGUGACUGUUGAUCCUAAUCAGACAACACGAAAGUAAUACAUGCCAACUCUCGUUGCACACAUAUCAUACCAAUCAAAAUCCACAAUUAAGACAAAAAUCUCAUGGACACCAACAAAGCUCAGACCCUAUAUCUCUAUAGCGGUAGUGUAAGCAGAGAGGUUUAAUAACAGGUCGUCUAUCGUGAUUACCCAGGGUGAUAAAAAUAGUUCAAGUCUACCACAAAUUAUGUUUCAUUCACAUAAUCCUAUGUUUACAUGGCAUAGUUCUAAAUUCAAUCAUCCACUCUCGCUUCAGAAAGAAUUAACAAACAACUUAGAAGUUAGCUACGCUUCUAAGAAGAAUAAGCACGGCGCAUGCAAAGAAAUCAACGUACGUCACAAAAUCAAGCAAUUAAUAUUCGUUACUAGACUACAUCGAUAAAUCCAUUAGAAUCCCAUGAAGGCGGUUAGUUCAUAAUCGAACUAAUCGACAUCAUGAGUUCUAACGAAAACAUGAUAAAUAAAAGACGAGAAUUAAGCGGAAUAAAAAUGCUUAAUCACACAAGUAAUAUUCUUCACUAAACUACAUCGAUAAAUCCAUUAGAAUCCCAUGAAGGCGGUUAGUUCAUAAUCGAACUAAUCGACAUCAUGGGUUCUAAUGAAAACAUGAUAAAUAAACGACGAGAAUUAAACGGAAUAAAAGUACUUGAAUUAAUAAUAAAGAACACAACGUUACAGAUUUGAUGUUCACGAUCUCGCUCGAAACUGUCACUUCCUCGCAAAGAACGAUCCGAUACAACUGAUAAUGUGCUUCGAUAGGAAUAAAAAUACUUGAAUUAAUAAUAAAGAACACAACGUUACAGAUUUGAUGUUCACGAUCUCGCUCGAAACUGUCACUUCCUCGCGAAGAACGAUCCAAUACAAACUGAUAAUGUGCUUGAUUACAAAAGAAAACUAACUACGAUAUUGUUUCGAUAUUCUAACUACUUGGAGGCUAGGGUUUUACACAUGAGAAAUUAAAAUACAUUGACCAAGUCAACCGGGCCUCGACCGCUGCUAAAAUCCAUCAGAAAAGCUGCAAAAAUCGGCCCGGAACACUUCUGCUGGGCGCGGCCGCGCUAAACUAGCGCAGGCGCGCUAGUGGGCUUUAAUGUAGCGCGGGCGCGCUAGAAGUUAGCGCGGGGGCGCUACUUUCUGACUUUGGACUAGCGCGGGCGCGCUAAGAGUUAGCGCGGGGGCGCUACUUUCUGCCACUGGCAGCCUGUUUCUUCGUUUUCAGCUCGUUCUCGCGUGCAUGCCCUUCCUCGCUCUAGUACCACUUCCGUAGGUGAUCACGGUUGCAUUUAGCAUAUGCAACAAGCCCUUUAAACCCCUAGAUAGCUC